RNAcentral lists this transfer RNA (65 nucleotides) under marine eukaryotic metagenome. It matches the Rfam family "tRNA", at positions 5 to 66 of the family's 71-position model. Rfam says of the family: Transfer RNA (tRNA) molecules are approximately 80 nucleotides in length. The record is from RNAcentral.
CCUUAGCUCAACUGGAUAGAGCACCAGACUUCGAAUCUGGGGGUUGCAGGUUCGAGUCCUGCAGG